AUUACGAAGUUUUUAUACACAACUAGAAAACCCGGCGAACUCCGUUUUGCCACCAGAUGGCCUUAUUUCUUUUGGUGAUUAAAAGAUGAAGAAAUUUUUUUUUUUGUCAUUGAAAAGGAAAAAUUUUGUUUCAUUUCACAAAAGUAAUGAAUUCAUUUCAUAAAGAGUUAUUUAGUUGAACUUCUCUAAGUAAAUGGAAGAGAAUACAAAGUAAAUACUGAAUCUUUCCCAGGUACGUCAUAGCGUCUUCAGCGUAUUCGUGCAUGUGGCGUGGGCUUCCGAUAUAAGAUGAUGGGAGAAUUGUCAGACGUCCAAUAUUUUGAA
Long non-coding RNA from Drosophila busckii, 324 nucleotides. RefSeq lists it as uncharacterized. The record is from RefSeq and is a predicted model, not a curated record. The transcript has 2 exons. NCBI's taxonomy places the organism in Eukaryota, Metazoa, Arthropoda, Insecta, Diptera, Drosophilidae.